RNAcentral lists this ribosomal RNA (582 nucleotides) under Blemus discus. RNAcentral describes it as "partial 16S ribosomal RNA". The stretch from base 341 to 499 matches the Rfam family "Bacterial large subunit ribosomal RNA", at positions 2473 to 2632 of the family's 2925-position model. Lineage: Eukaryota; Metazoa; Arthropoda; Insecta; Coleoptera; Carabidae. The record is from RNAcentral.
AAUGGCUGCAGUAAUUUGACUGUACAAAGGUAGCAUAAUCAUUAGUUUUUUAAUUAAAAGCUUGUAUGAAAGGUUGGACGAAGUAAAUUCUGUCUCUAUUUAAAUUAAAUUAGAAUUUAAUUUUUAAGUUAAAAAGCUUAAAUUUUUAUAAAAGACGAGAAGACCCUAUAGAGUUUAAUAAUUUAAUUUGAAUAAUUAAUAUAGAUUAAUUUCUUUUGUUUAAUUUAAAUUUAUUUUAUUGGGGUAAUAAAAAGAUUUAAAAAAUUCUUUUUUUUAAAAACAUAUAUUUAUGAAAUUUUAUGAUCCAUUAUUUAUGAUUAUAAGAUUAAAUUACCUUAGGGAUAACAGCGUAAUUUUUUUAAAGAGUUCUUAUCGAUAAAAAAGUUUGCGACCUCGAUGUUGGAUUAAAGAUUAGUUUAGGUGUAGAAGUUUAAAUUUUUGGUCUGUUCGACCAAUAAAUCUUUACAUGAUCUGAGUUCAAACCGGUGUAAGCCAGGUUGGUUUCUAUCUUUAUUAAAUUUUAAUAUUUUAGUACGAAAGGACCAAAUAUUAGGUAUAUAAAUAUUUAAUUUUAUUGAAUAU